This is a long non-coding RNA of Trichomycterus rosablanca, 356 nucleotides long. RefSeq lists it as uncharacterized. The transcript is spliced from 3 exons. The record is from RefSeq and is a predicted model, not a curated record. NCBI's taxonomy places the organism in Eukaryota, Metazoa, Chordata, Actinopteri, Siluriformes, Trichomycteridae.
GAAAAGGCAAGGAGAGACGCAGGCGAUCCUCAAGCUCUCCAGCCAACAGUGAAUUUUUGUGUAGUUGGGUGCAAAACCCUCAACAUGUCAAAGGUCUAUUUUUGUCAACUGGUCCAAGAGCCAGCACCAGAUCUGAGGUCACCCAAGGAGGAUGGGGGUCCCUGCUGAGUCUGGUUCCCCUCAAGGUCUGCUGACCCUCCCUAACAAACCAGCCAUCACCUACCUAAACCUAAAGUAACAACAGAGGAAACCCUGCAUAUUGCAAGGUGCACUCACCAUCUCCACACCCUGAGGAAAAGCUGUGCCAUCCCAGUCCUUUUUAGGAAAGCGCUGGAUAAUUUUACCACUUCCAUCAC